Molecule: unclassified non-coding RNA, 209 nt
Filed under: Hevea brasiliensis (rubber tree)
Lineage: Eukaryota; Viridiplantae; Streptophyta; Magnoliopsida; Malpighiales; Euphorbiaceae
Source: RNAcentral
AGACGGUCCAAUUAUGAAUCAAUACUGCUCUUUGGCAAGAGAAUCUAGCAUAUGGCUAUCACUUGGAGGCUUUCAAGAAAAGGGACCCGAUGAUCAACAUUUCUAUAACACACAUGUCAUAGUUGACGACACUGGAACCAUCAGGAGCAGUUAUAGGAAAAUACACCUGUUUGAUGUCGACAUUCCUGGUGGAAGAGUAUAUAAAGAAA